UACGUAGGUGGCAAGCGUUGUCCGGAUUUACUGGGCGUAAAGGGCGUGCAGGCGGUUUGUUAAGUGCAGAGUGAAAGCUCCCGGCUCAACUGGGAGAGGUCUUUGCAUACUGGCAAACUCGAGGGAGGCAGAGGAAAGUGGAAUUCCCGGUGUAGUGGUGAUAUGCGUAGAUGUCGGGAGGAACACCUGUGGCGAAGGCGGCUUUCUGGGCCUUACCUGACGCUGAGACGCGAAAGCGUGGGGAGCGAACCGG
This 253-nucleotide ribosomal RNA is filed under the name uncultured bacterium. Its description in RNAcentral is "partial 16S ribosomal RNA". It matches the Rfam family "Bacterial small subunit ribosomal RNA", at positions 524 to 776 of the family's 1533-position model. The record is from RNAcentral.